Long non-coding RNA from Gavialis gangeticus (Gharial), 258 nucleotides. RefSeq lists it as uncharacterized. The record is from RefSeq and is a predicted model, not a curated record. NCBI's taxonomy places the organism in Eukaryota, Metazoa, Chordata, Crocodylia, Gavialidae. The transcript has 2 exons.
CUUUGGAAGGGAGGUUUUUCCUGGCAUCCAGGUUCUCUGUCGCUGUCAAGAGACAACAGAACUAUUUUCUCUAGACAGCCUCACAGACACAUGGCACAUGUAAGUGUGCUUCUUAAGACAAGUGUGUAACAGCAGAGGACAGCAAUUCUGGAAUGGAAUUUGACUGAGCUAUUAAAGUCCUAAGAAGUGACAGGGCAUGAAAUGAGCAAAAUAUUUGCUAUUUAUGGUAACAUGAUUGCAUAUUAAGGAUGAAAAAAA